CAGCACGCUUUGAUAUCCUGCUCUUUGUCUGUUGAGAGCAGUGAUAUUUUUAAUGUGCUAAAGUAGAGCUGGAGGUUAAUUAGCAGAUGGUCUAACUACAUUUGCCAUAACUGCCAGUCCCCUCCAUACACUG
Molecule: small nucleolar RNA, 133 nt
Organism: Leucoraja erinaceus (little skate)
Lineage: Eukaryota; Metazoa; Chordata; Chondrichthyes; Rajiformes; Rajidae
Source: RefSeq, a predicted model, not a curated record